GGAGCAGUCCGGUAGCUCGUUGGGCUCAUAACCCAAAGGUCGUAGGUUCAAAUCCUGCC
This 59-nucleotide transfer RNA is filed under the name Candidatus Coatesiibacteriota bacterium. RNAcentral describes it as "Candidatus Coatesbacteria bacterium tRNA-Met". It matches the Rfam family "tRNA", at positions 9 to 63 of the family's 71-position model. From Rfam's summary of the family: Transfer RNA (tRNA) molecules are approximately 80 nucleotides in length. Lineage: Bacteria; Candidatus Coatesiibacteriota. The record is from RNAcentral.